GUAGCGGGGAUUCAAGGAACAAGCUGGUGAGCCCACAGUGAGAAGCCCUGCAGUGGGAGGACAGAGAGCUGGAUUUUGGCCCGAUGCACCCCUCACUAUGGUAUCGAAGUACCAAGUACAUCAUACAUACGUACAUCAUAUGUACAUAGCACUCUUCAUGCAUAGACCUCCAAGCACUUUACAAAGCAGUCACUCAGCCACUCUGCACUUCUCCUGCUUGUACUUCUGUGUUUCCUCUGCCCUGGAGCCAGGAGUGUCGCAAACCAAACAGGAAGUGUCCCCACCGCUAGUUGCUGAAACAGCCCUGCUGAGAUGGGGAAGUAGAGCAGAUGCUGGCUAAGCAAUCCCCAUGGGUGACACAGCCAUGGAUGGCAUCAGGGUGGCACAGUGUGAUGCAAUUGUGGUCUCCGCCCAGAAGAAUCCUCACUGCUGUAUUGGAAAGAGCUGCUCCACGUCUGCAGCUCACCUGACAAUUCGUGACUAUGCAACCAUCCUUUCCCAACAACUAGCAUCCAAAGCCAUUCAGACACUCCCAGAAAGUCUUUAAAUCAUGAGAGAAACGUGAUCAGUGGGAUCUUCUUGGAGGCACAGCACAGCACUGGAGGGGAACAGAGCAUACCAGUGGCAGGACGUAUUGCAGGGAAGUGUGCCAACAUUGGGUUGUAGUUACUGGGGGAGAGGACACAUGCUGGGAUACCCUACUGAGUGAUCUUGUUCUAGAUCUGAAGAUGGGCAGAGGGGUGUACACACAGCUGGUAAGUUGGUUACAUUGUAUGAUACAGAGGGUGGAAUUGUUUGGUUUAUUGAUGGGGUGCUAGUGAAGCUCCCUUUCCUUCUUUCCAUUGUGAAAGGCUUCUGGAAGGAUCUUUGUGGAGAUGCAUGGAGGGGCUGCUGCCCAGGCCCUUGGGAAUAUGCCUGAAUUCUGGAGGAAGGGAAAUCAGGCAACAAAUUCUACUCCGACAAUUGAAUUGUGCCCAGGCCUGCAGACAUUUCAGCCGUGGGUCUCAGAAAAUGAAGAGCACAUCAGACAUGCCCUAGAAUUCCCCUCAAAGCAGCGUUUUCAUUUCUGAAGUGCCAACUCAGUUUUUAAAAGCUCCUAUUAAUUUUAAUUCCUUAGGUUUCGGACUUUUCAUAAGAGCAGAGAAUGAUAAACCCACUCUCUUGGGUUAUCAGGUUAAUAAUAUUUUAUGUAGCUAAAUACCCCCUGCAAUUUCAGUUGAAAAGAGUAUUCUCUAAUUCCUGUAACUAAAAUGUUGCUUUGCAUUGUUAACAGCUGCUGUCUUUCACCUCAGAGGUGGCUGCAUUUCAGUGGUGCGCAAAGUGAUCAUUGUAUACAUUGUGUCUUAAUAAAUCCUUGACCCUCAUUUAGCGGUGAGAAAAUGUUGUUGAAGUUAAACAUCACUAUAGAAUUUUUGAAAGAAAAUAAACCUUAUUUCCUCUGUUGGAUUCUAGCAGAUUCUCUCUUCUCUGAAUCAACUGGUUCUCUUAUUUGUUUCAGGACACCAGGAAUAUAUAUUUUUUAAUUUGAGAUUAUUUCCCCCUCUUCUAAUGACUGGAACUUCUGUGUCCUAGAUAGAUGAAAUGUGCAAUAUACAAAUAAUAGUCACAACUCUACCCAUUUACUGUUUAUCCCAUACUCACGUACAUCUAUACGCAUCUUCUUUUACUUAACACAUCACAUGCAGAAGACACAUAGAUAUUUAUAGCAAUCAAUCCAUGGCAUCGAGAUGUAGCUGUCCUUGCUGCCUUGGAAUAUCUAGUGCCACCUGAAGGUAGCUGACACAUUCUAGCAUCAGUUGAUUUCAAAGAUGUGUGUACAGUGCCUAGCUCAGUUCAUAGAUUCCAAGGCUAGGAAGACCAGUGUGAUCAUCUAGUCCAGUGGUUCUCAAAGUUUUGUACUGGUGAUCCCUUUCAUAUAGCAAGCCUCUGAGUGCGAUCCACCUUACAAAUUAAAAACACUUUUAAAAUAUAUUUAACACUAUUAUAAAUGCUGGAGGCAAAGCAGGGUUUGGGGUGGAGGUUGACAGCUCACAACCCCCAGCGUAAUAACCUCACGACCCCCAGUUUGAGAACCCCUGAUCUAGUCUGACCUCCUGUAUAGCAUAGGUCAUAGAACGUACCCAAAAUUAUUCCUAGAGCAGAUCUUUUAGAAAAAUAUCCAAUCUCAAUUUUAAAAUUGUGAGUGACAGAGAAUUCACCACGACCCUUAGUAAAUUGUUCCAAUGGUUAAUUACUCUCACUGUUAAAAAUGUACACCUUAUUUACAGUCUGAAUAUGUCUAGCUUCAACUUCCACACACUGAAUCAUGUUAUACCCUUCUCGGUUAGACUGAAGAGCCCAUUACUAAAUAUUUGCUCCCCAUGUAGAUACUCAGAUUGUAAUCAAGUCACCUCUUAAUCUUUUCUUUGUUAAUCUAAAUAGAUUCAGCUCUUUGAGUCUAUCACUAUAAAGUGUGUUUUCUAAUCCUUUAAUCAUUCUUGUGGCUCUUUUUUGAACCCUCUCUAAUUCAUUAACAUCCUUCUUGAAUUGUGGGCUCCAGAACUGAACACAGCAUUCCAGAAGUUGUCAUACCAGUGCAAAAUACAGAAGUAAAAUAACCUUUCUGCUUCUACUCAAGAUUCCGGUUUAGGCAUUCCAGGAUGCAUUCGCUCUUUUGGCCACAGCAUCACACUCGGAACUCAUGUUCGGCUGAUUAUCUACAAGGAUCCCCCCCAAAUCUUUUUCAGAGUCACUGCCUGCUAGAUCAUAAUCAGGUCUUUGAAUUUAGGAUGGAAGAAAGUGAGCCACCACUAACAUUGGCUAGAAGGAGGAAGGAAUGGCAGAAUCAGGUAUGAUGGACCUUACUUUCAGAGGCAAAGGGGGAUAGUGAAGAAAAGGCAUCUAAAGAGAUGGGAACUAGCUGGAGGAGUAUAAGUAUGAACAGGGGACAGCAGGAAUAGAAAGCGAGGUGGAGGACAUAUUAAGAGAGAUGAGUCUGCCAACUAACCUUGUAUAGAUGAGAUUAGAAUUAUCCACUUUGGGAAGAGUGAGCGUUACCUUAAGGGACGGGGCUUGAUUCAUAUUUUCCCUGCUGAAAAGGUGACAACCCUAAAAGCCUAUGAAUGCCUACGCAGGUUUCCCUAUUUGCUGGAGUAGUUCUGCCUUUUGUAAAAGGUGGACAUGUUGCAGGAGUACAGGGAGAUCCCAUUGAAAAAUCUGUGUAUAAGGCAAUGUGAAAGGCCUUGGCUCCUUUACAGGCUAAGUAGUGCACGGUAGUAGAUAGUCAUUGUAAGUAAAACUGAACAUUAUAGGAAGUAGACAAACUAUACAAUUAUUUCUCUGUUAAUAGAGCUCGUUUGGGGCCAUUCACAGAGCAACGCGCUAUGAAUUAUCCUAGCCUGAUGCCACAUUAAAACCAGUCAUUUAUUACCCUGGCCCUCUUAUUACUCAGUACAGCUGGAAUUUUGAAGUCAUCUUCUGCAUGUCAGGACUAGUGUGACCUUGUCAUGCUUUAUAUCUUCUUUCUCUCUCAACCACUCAAAUGCAGGCUGAGUAAUUUCAGUACUGGGUUUUUCCUCUUUAUUAACACCAUGACCUAGGAAGAGCAGUGUUCUUUCAGUAAUAAGCUUCCUUAUGCAGCUCCUCACAUAGACCUUAAAGACAGCUAUAACUGGAUAUGAUUUAUAGAUUUCUAUGAAUUAAAUGUACUGCAGUCAUGCCUAAAUAACGUAUCUCAUAUCAUUAAAAUGAGCAAGAGACUGACAGUACAUGAACUAGUGGAAAUGGGAAUAAUGUCUAUUGUCCAGACCUGGUUGACUGAAAGCCAGAUAAAAUAUGUAGUACAUCAUGCUGGUAGGAUGUUUGUUUUUGUGUAUGUUAAAUAGGGCAGAGAACUGAUCCCCACAAGUUGUAAGAGGAUUUAGUUAACACCUUUUCUUUGUGAGACACACUGAACUGGGAAAAGGAAACAGACUUUAGGCUGCGAGAGAGAAACCUGAUUUUCCCAUAUUUUAUCUUAACACUGUGCAACAUGAACUUGGCCCGGAUUACCAAAAUUUUCUGUUGUGUUUGACUAGCCAAAGUAUUUUGUCCCUAGCCCUCUUGUUUCUGUUUUUUCUUUCUGUAAUUUGUCAGUACAUCUUGGUUUUGUUUAAGACUACCUGAAUUAGGUGGGGGAUACUAGCAGUGGGGCAAAUCACUGCUGGGUGCCUCAGACUGACUUCAGAAAAGGCAGCAUAAAUAGGUAACUGCUUGAGUGCAGGUUGUGAUCCCCCACUCCCCAACCAGAGCAAUGGAGCUGGUAUGGAGGGAGCGAAGUUACAUGAAGAGCUGUAAUUAGUUACUGCAGAGACCACUGUUGAGCAAACACUGACAAUGCUAACAAAUUGGACUUAUUCACUCAAUGCAAAUAAUAUAGCUUAGAAAGCUUUUUUCCUAGUGGAACAAAUGUCACUAUUCCUCAUCCUUACGUGUACAUUCAUGACUUCUCCCCGCAAACUCCAAUUCACAACUAAAUGUAAACUUAGUACUGGUAAGAAAACUAUAGAUGCUAGAUGCAAGUUUCAAAAGUGACUCGUAACUUUGGUUGCCUCACUUAAGGCAUCUUUGAGCCUUGACUGUCAAAGUGCCUGCCUUUGAAAAAUUAGGCCCCUUUAAAAUGGUCAAGUUGGGCACCAAAAAAAUGGAUGCACCCAAAAUCAUUACUCACUGAAAUGGCCUAAGUCCUAUUCAGAGAGCAACUAGUCUAUGCAUAAGCACUUCAAAGUGACCGCGCAAUUCACUGCUCAGUGAUGGAGUAUUUCUUUGGGAAUUAGGCCAGGAUGAAAAUAUUCAAAUGAAUUCACUUAGACAUGAAGUAGCCACAAAGUUUUCAGCACUUAAAAAAGAUGUAAGAAAAAAAAAAAAAGCAGGAACUAACAAGAAUGAGACUUCAGGAGCUACUGUUUUUUUCCUUUCCUACCUAAUCAUUUUUCAUAAGGAAAGUAGGGUGGGGGAAUGAGUUUAAAAAGCUCUUCAUUGUUCUUACUGAUAUGUCCGUGUGCAAAAAAAGGACCCAAUGAAGUUGGAAAAGCCAGCUACAUUUUUGAAUAGUGUUGGUGUCCACGUAUCUUGAUUUAGGUAGAGCAUUCAAGACUGCUACAAUAUGAUCCAGGCCUAUGAUUACUUACACGUGCAAAGUGCUGCUGCGGAAACAACCUUGGCAGGAAAAAGAUUGGAGGUGAAGAGCAGAAGUCAGAUGGACAGUACUGCUGUGGAACAGAAGUGAUCUUAAAGGAGUCUGCUCCCAAAUUUCAGAAGUAUCCCUACUCAGCACUGUCUGAUACCUUAGCUUUACUCCUUCUCUUCCCCCAUUGACUACUGUAUUAUAACUACUGCUUUAAUUCUGUGUACACAAUGUUUUACAAAAUCCUUGGAAAAUAUCUUUAAGGCCCGGUCAGCAUUACCAGCAUGAAAUAGUUCCUGGUAAUAUGAUUGCUUAAUCUACAGAGGCCAACCCAAACAUUUGAAGCCACAGUUAAAAGCAGCUGAACUGUCACAUCCAUGCUGAAAUAUAACUACUAGCACCAAACGUUUCAGGUAACUGUUUUUGAGAACUGACCUUGAUGCCAUUUCAGGAUCAAGAAUUUGUGUAGCAUGGCUAGGUCCUAUCAUCACCCGUUCUGUAAGCAUCAACCUCUUCUCCCCCUCCCCCAAAAAGUAAUUUUCUUCCUCUGUUCACUCAACCACUUGAGAGGCAGCAAUAUAAGAAACCUUAACUGUUAGAAUGGAUUCCUCCUGUGUAUAAACCCACUGAACAAGUACUGUCUGCAGUUGCUUCCCAAAGGAAUUAUAGCCAUUAUCUUUCCCAAUAAGCAGACACAUCCUGCAUUUAGAACAUCAGAACAAUGCAUCAGAACAUUUGAUUUAGUGAGCCCUCUCAGAUAUGUAGUAGCAACAGUGAUUUGGUGGGAGGCUCUUAUUCUAAAAUAAGAAUGACGCCAAGAACAAGCUCGCGAGACAGAGCUGCCAGGUCUGCAGGUUUUCACAAGGCUUUGGGACACCAGUCAUAUUUUAAGUCUUUUUUCCAAGUGGAAAAACACUUUGUACAAUGGCACUAUUUUGUACAGCAGAUCUGCCCCAUGUGUACUGUGUCGUGUAUUUCACUGUCAGAAGUUUUAAUACUUUACUACAGUUAGCCCUGCAGAAGCAACUUAACUGUGGGAGAGCAACUUAGAUUUAUUUGCCCCCUACAUCAGAAUUAAGUUACAGUAGCCCCUAUGCAACCCUAAUGUCUUUGUAUUUAUAUAUAUAUAUAUAUAUAUAUAUAUUUUCAAUGAUACCAGUGCAAUUCUAGUGAAGGAAACAUUGUCACAGAUGUAAAAAACGGCAAAAUUACCAGCAGAAUUUCUUACUUGAUGAUGCCCUUGCUACCAAGAUCGUUAGGUGAUUCUCAGAAUCCCAAGUAAAUUUGUAGGGCUGGCAGUUGGGGGAGGCAAUCUUUACUGGGAAAUUUGGUCUAGUGUCACAAACAAACAUGGAAUCCCACAGAUAUAUUCUUACAGAGUGAAUGCUUAGAGCAGAACUCCACUUUAAAUAGAGCUGUGUGGGUGGCUACAGUAUGGUAGAUUCCUAUAGUUUAUCUGUGCAUCGUUCAGUCUUUGGGCAUCCAUAACACUCAAAACUAGUUUUUGGGAGCCUUGUCCAACAGGCAAGUAUGUGUGCACAGUAUAGUCAAAGCUCUAUCCUGGGAGUGCUUAUAUUUUCUAAGUUCUUAUUGUUAGCUAGAAUUAUGGACUCAACACAGUAGCCAAUCAGUGCCUACUGUUUUGGGGCCUUUUUCAUAGGCCUACUUUGGCAGAGUAUAGUUUGGCAACAGGGAAGAGCUUAAUAAGUCUUGAGAGGGGAAGUGAGAAAUCUAUAGAGGACAAAGAAUUAGGAAAAUUCACAGCAUGGCAUAUAAAUGUGAGAGUUAUUGAUUACUUCACCUUUACUGCUUGGUUCUUGGUGUUGGUUGGAGGAUUCUUCAGGGCUGCCUGCAAUGCAGCCAUCAUGUUCCCUGUGAACAAUGGUUAAGGAAGGAUGGGGAAACAAGGACUUGGAAAGCAGUAGAGCUAGUCACAGUACAGUGGGGUUCACAUGGAACUUGUUCAUUACUCGGAAUAUCAGCUAUGGAGUUGCUGAGAGAACAUCUUCCAUAUUGAAUACUUCAGUGAGUGCAACGUAAGGUAACAAAUACUAGCCAAUUACUAAAAGCAAUGGGACAGUACUAAGGUGGUACAGUUUUCAGUACUGGAGGGCACCAAUCACAGAACAAGGAUCCAAAUAAUAGAAACAUUUAGACAUUCCACCCAUUCUAUCUUCAAACACCACACAUAAUGGCAAAAUAUCAUGCAACAAGCUAUAGCACGGCUGUUUGCAAAAUACAGAACAAUGUGAUUGCUGAAAUAAACUGUUAGUGGGAACAUCUGUGGCCCAUAAAUUGGAAAAAUAUCAUCAGUCAGGACCUCAAACUAAACAUUGAAAGGAAAGGUCAAUCUGUCAGUAAAUUCAUCACACUGUAGUUGAUUAUGAUUCAGGAGAGUUUUCUAUUCAGAUUCUUAUACUGCAUCCACCACUGUGGUAUCUAAAAACCUCCCAGUAGUGCAUUAAGUGACAUGACUAAUAUGCACCACAGAUGGAGUUCAUUAUAGAACAACAAGAUUCCAAGACUGCCUUCAUCACUGUCAUGAACCAGAAGGAGCACAAAACAUGCUCUAGAGACACAGGUAAUUCAGGCUUCCUGCUGACUGUACAGAAAAGGAAGCUAAGCAGCUCCCACUUGAAUUUUCUUAAAAGGUUUCACAGUUUUGAGCAUAGAAAUUUGCCUUUCAGGUUUUUUUCCCCCCACCUCCAGGAAUUGCCAAAACUGAAUCACAAAACCCAUUACUCCUUUUCUCCUUACAGUGUGCACGAUAAACACCCAUUUUUUCAUGAUCUGUGUGUAUAUAAAUCUCCUCACUGUAUUUUUCACUGAAUGCAUCUGUUGAAGUGAGCUGUAGCUCA
This is a long non-coding RNA of Chelonia mydas (Green sea turtle), 8001 nucleotides long. RefSeq lists it as uncharacterized. NCBI's taxonomy places the organism in Eukaryota, Metazoa, Chordata, Testudines, Cheloniidae. The transcript is spliced from 6 exons. The record is from RefSeq and is a predicted model, not a curated record.